CCAAUGUGGGCAAUCACUGGGAUCACUCAGUGGUUCUGUCCAUGUGGCGUAAAGGAGCAUAGCACUCUGGUGCAAUGGUGUAUAAUCCUGUUCCACGACAUUGGAGAUCAAACUUGUCCCUAGUCUUUGGACUGAUGAGGGCAUGGUCCUGUAUAUUCCUUAUCUUCUCAGUAUCUCAUUGCUGAGGAGAAAAACCAUACAGGGCACAUUU
Molecule: small nucleolar RNA, 211 nt
Organism: Choloepus hoffmanni (Hoffmann's two-fingered sloth)
Lineage: Eukaryota; Metazoa; Chordata; Mammalia; Pilosa; Megalonychidae
Gene: SNORA73
Rfam family: Small nucleolar RNA SNORA73 family
About the family: U17 (SNORA73A and SNORA73B) also known as E1 belongs to the H/ACA class of small nucleolar RNAs (snoRNAs). Vertebrate U17 is intron-encoded and ranges in length from 200-230 nucleotides, longer than most snoRNAs. It is one of the most abundant snoRNAs in human cells and is essential for the cleavage of pre-rRNA within the 5' external transcribed spacer (ETS).
Source: Ensembl